AGAGUUUGAUCCUGGCUCAGAGCGAACGUUAGCGGCGCGCUUAACACAUGCAAGUCGCACGAGAAAGGGCUUCGGCCCCGGUAAAGUGGCGCACGGGUGCGUAACACGUAGGCAAUCUUCCCUUGAGCGGGGGAUAACGUUUCGAAAGAGACGCUAAUACCGCAUAAGACCACGUCCAGUUCGCUGGAUGCGGUCAAAGC
Molecule: ribosomal RNA, 200 nt
Filed under: uncultured bacterium
Lineage: Bacteria
Description: partial 16S ribosomal RNA
Rfam family: Bacterial small subunit ribosomal RNA
Source: RNAcentral